Molecule: long non-coding RNA, 698 nt
Organism: Amblyraja radiata (thorny skate)
Lineage: Eukaryota; Metazoa; Chordata; Chondrichthyes; Rajiformes; Rajidae
Exons: 3
Source: RefSeq, a predicted model, not a curated record
CAAUCACCUCGAUGUCUCGUGUCUACCAAAGAUCCUAGGUGUCUACUCCAGAUUCGCACUUUCGCAAAAAGUUCUACAAUGCGUUUUGCCCAAUACAAAAUGGCAAACAGAGCUAUCAAAGUCACUCAUAUUACACCUCCGCUGGGAAAUAUUGAGAUUGUAUCCAAAUUAUGCAUGGACUGGUGUUGGAUGGAGCCUACAGCAUCACACUGGGCUAGGACGAACCCAACGUUAUCAAUCCAAUGCCGCCAGGCCAACGGGUCUUAAAGUGAGUAAAUAAGAAAUUGCAGAUCUCCUUGAACCAAAAACAAACUUUUCAAACUUGGAAGUUGCAAGACGACGCUGGAAUGUAGCAACUCUCUGCAUGCUGUUCCAGAAGCAAAGCUAGUUAUUGCAUUCAUGUGUAGUAUGAUUUGACUGGGUAGUAUGCGGAACCAGCUUUUCACUGUAUCUCUGUGCGUGUGACAGUAAAUAAAUUAAACUGAAUGCUUGUGGCAUUUUCUGCUUUUAUUCAUUGUGGCCAUUGGCAAUAAACAUCAAAUCAAUAUGUAUACCAUUACAAACCUUGACCUUUACUUUGACCCACUGCUGUUCGCUUAUGCCACCACGGGUCCACGGAUGAUGCCAUCUCCCUGGCCCCACACUCAUCCCUGGAACACUUGGAUAAGAGAGAUAUCUAUCUGCCAUAAGUAUUCCUU